CAUGAAGUCCUUCGGGACAUCGAGACAGGUGGUGCAUGGUUGUCGUCAGCUCGUGUCGUGAGAUGUUGGGUUAAGUCCCGCAACGAGCGCAACCCUUAUUGCCAGUUACUACGCAAGAGGACUCUGGCGAGACUGCCGUUGACAAAACGGAGGAAGGUGGGGAUGACGUCAAAUCAUCAUGCCCUUUAUG
RNAcentral lists this non-coding RNA (190 nucleotides) under Subdoligranulum variabile DSM 15176. RNAcentral describes it as "Bacterial small subunit ribosomal RNA". It matches the Rfam family "Bacterial small subunit ribosomal RNA", at positions 1009 to 1206 of the family's 1533-position model. The record is from Rfam by way of RNAcentral. Lineage: Bacteria; Bacillati; Bacillota; Clostridia; Eubacteriales; Oscillospiraceae.